RNAcentral lists this unclassified non-coding RNA (657 nucleotides) under Hevea brasiliensis (rubber tree). The record is from RNAcentral. Lineage: Eukaryota; Viridiplantae; Streptophyta; Magnoliopsida; Malpighiales; Euphorbiaceae.
UCUGGCACAAAAAACUUGUGAACCUCAGUCAAUAAUUGAUUUUCCAGUUUUUGAUUUCUUCAGCUCAGAACAUGUCGACUGAGAAGAGUCCGCUUGAGCAAACGUCACCUGCUGUUGCAUCAUCAUGCCGAAAAAAGAAGUCUGAAAGUGCCACAUUUUUGGAGGAUGUGAAGGAUCAUAUUGAUGAGUUUAUACAUGCCUCAAUGGAUGAACACGCAUCUUGCUUUAAGAAGACCAUCAAUAAGAUGUUUGGGAUGUCUAAAAUUGUCGCUGAAAGAAAUGCUGAAGCAAAGGAGGUUGAGAGCUCACUUCCUCUCCAAACUGUUGUAUCUGAGUAAAGAUUCCCUAAGUAGAAAGAACUCGGGAAGGUGAGAUUGUGGAGGGUCAAAACAUGUAUGCAGUCUAAAGCCCCUUCCCUCAUCAGGUUUUAUUGUGCUAUCCACAUAUAUCAAUAAACAACAAUUUGAGAUGCUCUUGCCUGAGAAGUUGUGCUGCUUUUUACAUCUGUUGGUUUUACCAAACAUUAGACAUGUCUAGAUAAACAAAAUAAAUGGGCACAACAAUUUGAGAUGCUCUUGCCUGAGAAGUUGUGCUGCUUUUUACAUCUGUUGGUUUUACCAAACAUUAGACAUGUCUAGAUAAACAAAAUAAAUGGGC